ACUCUGGGCGCCGGACGUUAUUUAGGGACGUGUUUUGACCGAUGCAGGGCGCUUGUUUUCUAACAGGGCGGUUCGGGGGCACAGAGUAUAAAUCUCCUUCAGAAAUCGCAGUGAGGACUUACGGUCAGUGCAGAGCAGGGCGGUCCGGUGUAACGGAGGGAGCAGCUGGUCUUUCUUGAGAUGGCGCUGUCGACGCUGACAGGAGCGCAGAUCACAACAACGGGAGCACGGGCGUUGGACGGACCUCACCUGCGGGGGUAUUUAUAACCUCCAUGCCCGAGGAGUGCGCGUGGUCAGGUGGCUGUGAGCUAGGGCCGUCUGACAGGACUACUGAAGGAGGAGGAACGCUUUACGGUCCAGAGAGGAUCUGUGAGGAAUGUGUGGCGCGAAGGACGGUUUGAGCAGACUCACUUAAACACUUAUGUUCUCAACACGUAAUACUUUUAAAAUGUAUCCAGUUACAGAAUACAGAAUACAUGCCCAGAAAUGUAAGAUGUAGCCUAAUUCCGUUACAUCACUCAAUCUGAUGAUUGUAUUCUGAAUAUCCUUGGAUUACUUCCACAUUGAAUUGCAUUUUAUAAGUGUAGGAAUGCAGCAUUAAAUCCUGCUUACUAAA
Molecule: long non-coding RNA, 616 nt
Organism: Gadus morhua (Atlantic cod)
Lineage: Eukaryota; Metazoa; Chordata; Actinopteri; Gadiformes; Gadidae
Exons: 2
Source: RefSeq, a predicted model, not a curated record